UACGUAGGGUGCGAGCGUUAAUCGGAAUUACUGGGCGUAAAGCGUGCGCAGGCGGUUGUGUAAGACAGAUGUGAAAUCCCCGGGCUCAACCUGGGAACUGCAUUUGUGACUGCACGGCUUGAGUGCGGCAGAGGGGGAUGGAAUUCCGCGUGUAGCAGUGAAAUGCGUAGAUAUGCGGAGGAACACCGAUGGCGAAGGCGGCUCACUGGCCCGGUACUGACGCUGAGGUGCGAAAGCGUGGGGAGCAAACAGG
This 253-nucleotide ribosomal RNA is filed under the name uncultured bacterium. RNAcentral describes it as "partial 16S ribosomal RNA". It matches the Rfam family "Bacterial small subunit ribosomal RNA", at positions 524 to 776 of the family's 1533-position model. The record is from RNAcentral.